UGCAAGUCGAGCGGUAGCACAGAGAGCUUGCUCUCGGGUGACGAGCGGCGGACGGGUGAGUAAUGUCUGGGAAACUGCCUGAUGGAGGGGGAUAACUACUGGAAACGGUAGCUAAUACCGCAUAACGUCGCAAGACCAAAGUGGGGGACCUUCGGGCCUCAUGCCAUCAGAUGUGCCCAGAUGGGAUUAGCUGGUAGGUGGGGUAACGGCUCACCUAGGCGACGAUCCCUAGCUGGUCUGAGAGGAUGACCAGCCACACUGGAACUGAGACACGGUCCAGACUCCUACGGGAGGCAGCAGUGGGGAAUAUUGCACAAUGGGCGCAAGCCUGAUGCAGCCAUGCCGCGUGUGUGAAGAAGGCCUUCGGGUUGUAAAGCACUUUCAGCGGGGAGGAAGGCGGUGAGGUUAAUAACCUCAUCGAUUGACGUUACCCGCAGAAGAAGCACCGGCUAACUCCGUGCCAGCAGCCGCGGUAAUACGGAGGGUGCAAGCGUUAAUCGGAAUUACUGGGCGUAAAGCGCACGCAGGCGGUCUGUCAAGUCGGAUGUGAAAUCCCCGGGCUCAACCUGGGAACUGCAUUCGAAACUGGCAGGCUAGAGUCUUGUAGAGGGGGGUAGAAUUCCAGGUGUAGCGGUGAAAUGCGUAGAGAUCUGGAGGAAUACCGGUGGCGAAGGCGGCCCCCUGGACAAAGACUGACGCUCAGGUGCGAAAGCGUGGGGAGCAAACAGGAUUAGAUACCCUGGUAGUCCACGCUGUAAACGAUGUCGAUUUGGAGGUUGUGCCCUUGAGGCGUGGCUUCCGGAGCUAACGCGUUAAAUCGACCGCCUGGGGAGUACGGCCGCAAGGUUAAAACUCAAAUGAAUUGACGGGGGCCCGCACAAGCGGUGGAGCAUGUGGUUUAAUUCGAUGCAACGCGAAGAACCUUACCUGGUCUUGACAUCCACAGAACUUUCCAGAGAUGGAUUGGUGCCUUCGGGAACUGUGAGACAGGUGCUGCAUGGCUGUCGUCAGCUCGUGUUGUGAAAUGUUGGGUUAAGUCCCGCAACGAGCGCAACCCUUAUCCUUUGUUGCCAGCGGUCCGGCCGGGAACUCAAAGGAGACUGCCAGUGAUAAACUGGAGGAAGGUGGGGAUGACGUCAAGUCAUCAUGGCCCUUACGACCAGGGCUACACACGUGCUACAAUGGCAUAUACAAAGAGAAGCGACCUCGCGAGAGCAAGCGGACCUCAUAAAGUAUGUCGUAGUCCGGAUUGGAGUCUGCAACUCGACUCCAUGAAGUCGGAAUCGCUAGUAAUCGUAGAUCAGAAUGCUACGGUGAAUACGUUCCCGGGCCUUGUACACACCGCCCGUCACACCAUGGGAGUGGGUUGCAAAAGAAGUAGGUAGCUUAACCUUCGGGAGGGCGCU
Molecule: ribosomal RNA, 1406 nt
Filed under: Klebsiella pneumoniae
Lineage: Bacteria; Pseudomonadati; Pseudomonadota; Gammaproteobacteria; Enterobacterales; Enterobacteriaceae
Description: bacterial SSU rRNA
Rfam family: Bacterial small subunit ribosomal RNA
Source: RNAcentral